This is a long non-coding RNA of Mercenaria mercenaria, 1414 nucleotides long. RefSeq lists it as uncharacterized. The transcript has 2 exons. Lineage: Eukaryota; Metazoa; Mollusca; Bivalvia; Venerida; Veneridae. The record is from RefSeq and is a predicted model, not a curated record.
CGCAACUUGACCGCGAUGGUUGACCUUAGGCUGAUUAUUCAUAUCGAUUAUUUCAUUAGUAUGAAUAAGGGAUGCUUAGGGUAUCAAUGUAUAUUUAUAUGCAGUAAGUUUGUAUACAAUGCACUCCUUUUCAAUAAUAGGUUGUGCCUCAUUAUGUAUUAUAAUACAAAGUUCAGCCAUCGGGGUCAAGUUGCGUCCACUAUAUCAUAAGUUAAAUUUACACAAAAUAAGCUUCUUAUUCAAUAAAAUGUUAAAACAUUACACACAUUGUCUUGGCCUAAUAUAUGUCAAUGUCAAUGUCAAUUUGUAAUUAGAUACUUGUUAUUUCUCAUUUUCUUCAUGCAAAGCAUGUAUAAUUACCAUCAUGGAAACACAAAAGAAUACAGUUAUUUCGUGGUGCCUCUUUAAAGCAGACUAUUCUGAUUUGGGUAAAGAAAUGGAUUUGUUCUGACAAUUCUACAAUUCAUCGUUAAUUUUUAUUCACUUAGCGCUUUAAACAUGCAAUUUUUAAAUGGAGUUUGUUUGUUGUUUUUUUUUCAUUAGAUUUUCAUAUCCUAGUUGCCCAACCAAAACAGUGUUAUUUUACAAUAAGGCCUAAAAAGAUUGUUUGUUUCCGGUAGCAUGCUAAAAAUAGGUAUUUAUUUAUUUAUUUAUUAUAUAUAAGUGGGACUUUUCGGAAAUUGUUUUUGUGUCUAAAAAUGAAUGCAAAUAAGGGGGAUAUGCCUUUAGAGCAUAGUUGAUUUCUAACAUCACUGACCAUCUUUAAAGCAUAAAAAGUGCAGUUUUGCAACUUUGUGUUAAAAUGUUGAAAAACAAAUUCUCCAGGGUCAUAAAAUCAUUUAGGGUCGGGCCAAAAAUUUAGGGUAGGUUGGGAUACUGGAAACAAACAAAUUUUAUGCCUAAGUUUAAAUUUGAUAUACAUGCUUUGCCCAAGGAAUGACAUAAAUAUGAAACCUAUUGUAUUAUAUUUGUUAAAUAUUUGCUUAAAAGACUACAUAUUUAACUAAAUUCGUUAGAAAUGCAAGAUUGAGAGGCUGUUAUCACAUCCAUUUGCCUAUUUUGGUUGUGCAACUAUAUCAGUUCAGAAGCUGUAUAUGUUGUUUUAAAACUUGCAUUUUUGGAUAUCCUGGUAUCUAUCAAAUAGAAAUGUUACACUAGAUAUUACAUUGAAAUAAAAAGAAAUACUCACUUGUUAAAAUACCUUCAUAUUAAAGGGGACUAAUUGCACAUUUUUUGUAAAUCAGUUAAUGGGGGUCUAAGUAUUAUGUAAUUGAUAUUCUUGUUCCUGAAAAAAAUCUCCAGCAGAACCUAUUGAAAAUGAAAACUGAAACAAAAUGUUGCUUAACAGUAAAAAAAAUUAUAUGUUAUUGUUAACUUCAAAGCUUGCUUAUUAAAAAUUGCACUGUCGCUUUAA